RNAcentral lists this ribosomal RNA (159 nucleotides) under Triticum aestivum (bread wheat). RNAcentral describes it as "partial small subunit ribosomal RNA". Lineage: Eukaryota; Viridiplantae; Streptophyta; Magnoliopsida; Poales; Poaceae. The record is from RNAcentral.
AUGGUGCAAACAAGGAGACAUAUUAUGUAUCCUUUGUUUUAUCGGUUGUUGAAACUAGUAAUUGUGUUGCCUAUUGCUACUGCUACAGUUGAGAGGUGCUUUUCAGCAAUGAAAUUGGUCAAAACUGACUUGGCAGUCGCCUCAAUGAUGACAACUUGA